CAAGACAGCUACUUCACAAUUAGUCCACCCUGCCGUCACUGGUGAUUUAAAUAAUCUACAAAAGAACUAUGAACAGGUUCUUGGUCUUUGUGGCUGCUAUAAUUCUGAUUAAGGACGCAAAUGGGAAGCCUUUCAUCCCUUGGAAAAACAAUCAAGUCUCACCCAUCAAAGAUGUGCAGCUUUAUUUAGAGCAACAAGUCAUGAAAUUACAUGAAUUUAAUGCAAAAACCCCUUUAGAGUCAAUUGAAAUUGAACCACCA
Molecule: long non-coding RNA, 260 nt
Organism: Polypterus senegalus (gray bichir)
Lineage: Eukaryota; Metazoa; Chordata; Cladistia; Polypteriformes; Polypteridae
Exons: 4
Source: RefSeq, a predicted model, not a curated record